This 434-nucleotide ribosomal RNA is filed under the name uncultured bacterium. Its description in RNAcentral is "partial 16S ribosomal RNA". It matches the Rfam family "Bacterial small subunit ribosomal RNA", at positions 29 to 507 of the family's 1533-position model. The record is from RNAcentral.
AGCGAACGCUGGCGGCAGGCCUAACACAUGCAAGUCGAACGAACCUUUCGGGGUUAGUUGCGGACAGGGGAGUAACGUGUGGGAACGUGCCGGUAGGUUCGGAAUAACUCAUUUUAACGUGGGCUAAUACCGAAUGUGCCCUGCUGGGGAAAGAUUAAUCGCCUGUAGAGCGGCCGGCGUCUGUUUAGCUAGUUGGUUGAGGUAAUGGCUCACCAGGGCUAGCAUCAGUAGAGGGUCUGGGAGGAUGAUCAGCCACAUUUGGACUUGGCCACAGCCCAAACUCCUGCGGGAGGCAGCAGUGGGGAAUCUUGCGAAACCGGCGAGAGGCUGAAGCCGCUAUGCUGCGUGAAUGAUGAAGUUCUUAGAAUUGUAAAACUCUUUCACCGGCGACGAUACUGACGGUACCCGGAGAAGAAGCACCGGCUAACUUCGUG